Molecule: ribosomal RNA, 428 nt
Filed under: uncultured bacterium
Lineage: Bacteria
Description: partial 16S ribosomal RNA
Rfam family: Bacterial small subunit ribosomal RNA
Source: RNAcentral
GUGGGGAAUAUUGGGCAAUGGGCGCAAGCCUGACCCAGCAACGCCGCGUGAAGGAAGAAGGCUUUCGGGUUGUAAACUUCUUUUAUGAGGGACGAAGAAAAUGACGGUACCUCAUGAAUAAGCCACGGCUAACUACGUGCCAGCAGCCGCGGUAAUACGUAGGUGGCAAGCGUUAUCCGGAUUUACUGGGUGUAAAGGGCGUGUAGGCGGGACUGCAAGUCAGAUGUGAAAUUCCAGGGCUCAACCCUGGACCUGCAUUUGAAACUGUGGUUCUUGAGUGAUGGAGAGGCAGGCGGAAUUCCCUGUGUAGCGGUGAAAUGCGUAGAUAUAGGGAGGAACACCAGUGGCGAAGGCGGCCUGCUGGACAUUAACUGACGCUGAGGCGCGAAAGCGUGGGGAGCAAACAGGAGUAGAAACCCCAGUAGUCC